GCAGGAUCAUAAAUAAAAAAGAUGGGAUUAUUAUAAUGAAAGUGUAUACUGACAUUAUAAUAAUCUUGUCUAUGUUCUAAAUACAAAAUACCUUCACGAGGUUUAGAAUGAGUGAUAUAAGGAAGUUAUAUUAGCUAAAUUUGUGUAUGUGAGAAAAUGAUGUUGUGAUGUUAAAAGGCGCGUAUAGUUAAGUGUAGAGAGUUAUUAUUAGAGAUGUAAACUAUGUGGUUUUAAGCUAGUUUUUAUGCCUAUAAUAUCAAGGAUCUAUAUCUAUUACAACACACUUACUUUAACCA
This 296-nucleotide unclassified non-coding RNA is filed under the name Nosema bombycis. RNAcentral's name for it is "intergenic spacer". The record is from RNAcentral. Lineage: Eukaryota; Fungi; Microsporidia; Nosematidae.